RNAcentral lists this ribosomal RNA (214 nucleotides) under uncultured bacterium. RNAcentral describes it as "partial 16S ribosomal RNA". It matches the Rfam family "Bacterial small subunit ribosomal RNA", at positions 524 to 728 of the family's 1533-position model. The record is from RNAcentral.
GACGUAGGGCGCGAGCGUUGCUCGGAAUCACUGGGCGUAAAGGGCGCGUAGGCGGCCGUUCAAGUCAGGGGGUGAAAGCCUGUGGCUCAACCACAGAAUUGCCUUUGAUACUGUUCGGCUAGAGACCGGAAGAGGUUAGUGGAACUGCGAGUGUAGAGGUGAAAAUUUCGUAGAUAUUUCGCAAAGAAACACCCAGUGGGCGAAGGCGGGCUAA